AUGUACCUAGCUUGUGCUACUCGUCUUGACAUCUCAGUUGCUGUGUGCAAACUGAGCCGGUUUGUUUCCAAUCCGGGAGAUGUGCAUUGGCAUGCCGUUGAACGAGUCAUGCGCUAUUUGCAAGGUACUGUGGGCUACAGAAUCCAUUAUUCUGGGUACCUGACGGUACUUGAGGGGUAUAGUGAUUCGAAUUGGAUAUCUGAUGCUGAUGAGAUGAAAGCCACAAGUGGAUAUGUCUUCACACUUGGUGGCGGUGCUAUUUCCUGGAAGUCUUGCAAGCAGACGAUCUUAACGAGAUCGACUAUGGAAGCAGAACUCACAGGAUUAGACACAUCAUGCGUCGAAGCAGAAUAG
RNAcentral lists this ribosomal RNA (354 nucleotides) under Triticum aestivum (bread wheat). RNAcentral's name for it is "partial small subunit ribosomal RNA". Lineage: Eukaryota; Viridiplantae; Streptophyta; Magnoliopsida; Poales; Poaceae. The record is from RNAcentral.